Sander lucioperca (pikeperch) is the source of this 209-nucleotide long non-coding RNA. RefSeq lists it as uncharacterized. NCBI's taxonomy places the organism in Eukaryota, Metazoa, Chordata, Actinopteri, Perciformes, Percidae. The transcript has 3 exons. The record is from RefSeq and is a predicted model, not a curated record.
UCUUUUUUUUAUUCAGUACUGAACUGGAUAUGUAAUUUAUGUUACAGUAUUACUGUAAGCUUACAGUACAAUGGCACGUUCAGUAAUACUGUAUGAAAACUGGAAAAUGUUUUGUUGAAAUGUUCAGUAUUGACUGACUUGAGUACAUAAAAAAAUAUAUAUUUUCAUUAGUCUGCACAAUUGGUGUCAUGGAAACAUUUUUACACUUU